GAUGAACGCUGGCGGCGUGCCUAAUACAUGCCAGUCGAGCGAACAGAUGAGGAGCUUGCUCCUCUGACGUUAGCGGCGGACGGGUGAGUAACACGUGGAUAACCUACCUAUAAGACUGGGAUAACUACGGGAAACCGGAGCUAAUACCGGAUAAUAUAUUGAACCGCAUGGUUCAAUAGUGAAAGACGGUUUUGCUGUCACUUAUAGAUGGAUCCGCGCCGCAUUAGCUAGUUGGUAAGGUAACGGCUUACCAAGGCAACGAUGCGUAGCCGACCUGAGAGGGUGAUCGGCCACACUGGAACUGAGACACGGUCCAAACUCCUACGGGAGGCAGCAGUAGGGAAUCUUCCGGAAUGGGCGAGAGCCUGACGGAGCAACGGCGCGUGAGUGAUGAAGGUCUUCGGAUCGUAAAACUCUGUUAUUGGGGAAAAACAAAUGUGUAAGUAACUAAGCACGUCUUGACGGUACCUAAUCAGAAAGCCACGGCUAACUACGUG
This 497-nucleotide ribosomal RNA is filed under the name uncultured bacterium. RNAcentral's name for it is "partial 16S ribosomal RNA". It matches the Rfam family "Bacterial small subunit ribosomal RNA", at positions 28 to 507 of the family's 1533-position model. The record is from RNAcentral.